UGGGGAAUAUUGGACAAUGGGCGAAAGCCUGAUCCAGCCAUGCCGCGUGUGUGAAGAAGGUCUUCGGAUUGUAAAGCACUUUAAGCGAGGAGGAGGCUCUUCUAGUUAAUACCUAGGAUGAGUGGACGUUACUCGCAGAAUAAGCACCGGCUAACUCUGUGCCAGCAGCCGCGGUAAUACAGAGGGUGCGAGCGUUAAUCGGAAUUACUGGGCGUAAAGCGCGCGUAGGUGGUUCGUUAAGUUGAAUGUGAAAGCCCCGGGCUCAACCUGGGAACUGCAUCCAAAACUGGCGAGCUAGAGUAGGGCAGAGGGUGGUGGAAUUUCCUGUGUAGCGGUGAAAUGCGUAGAUAUAGGAAGGAACACCAGUGGCGAAGGCGACCACCUGGGCUCAUACUGACACUGAGGUGCGAAAGCGUGGGGAGCAAACAGG
This 430-nucleotide ribosomal RNA is filed under the name Pseudomonadota bacterium. RNAcentral's name for it is "Proteobacteria bacterium partial 16S ribosomal RNA". It matches the Rfam family "Bacterial small subunit ribosomal RNA", at positions 355 to 776 of the family's 1533-position model. The record is from RNAcentral. Lineage: Bacteria; Pseudomonadati; Pseudomonadota.